RNAcentral lists this transfer RNA (73 nucleotides) under Rhodohalobacter sulfatireducens. RNAcentral's name for it is "tRNA-Thr". It matches the Rfam family "tRNA". Rfam says of the family: Transfer RNA (tRNA) molecules are approximately 80 nucleotides in length. Their secondary structure includes four short double-helical elements and three loops (D, anti-codon, and T loops). The record is from RNAcentral. Lineage: Bacteria; Pseudomonadati; Balneolota; Balneolia; Balneolales; Balneolaceae.
GCCAAUGUAGCUCAGUUGGUAGAGCAACGCUCUCGUAAAGCGUAGGUCGUCGGUUCGAAUCCGAUCAUUGGCU